RNAcentral lists this unclassified non-coding RNA (262 nucleotides) under plant metagenome. RNAcentral describes it as "partial contains small subunit ribosomal RNA, internal transcribed spacer 1, and 5.8S ribosomal RNA". The record is from RNAcentral.
UCUCCGUUGGUGAACCAGCGGAGGGAUCAUUACCGAGUUUACAACUCCCAAACCCAAUGUGAACGUUACCAAACUGUUGCCUCGGCGGGAUCUCUGUCCCGGGUGCGUCGCAGCCCCGGACCAAGGCGCCCGUCGGAGGACCAACCAAAACUCUUUAUGUAUACCCCCUCGCGGGUUUUUUUACAAUCUGAGCCAUCUCGGCGCCCCUCGUGGGCGUUUCGAAAAUGAAUCAAAACUUUCAACAACGGAUCUCUUGGUUCUG